UCCGUAGGUGAACCUGCGGAGGGAUCAUUACCGAGUUUACAACUCCCAAACCCCUGUGAACAUACCUUUAAUGUUGCCUCGGCGGAUCAGCCCGCGCCCCGUAAAACGGGACGGCCCGCCAGAGGACCCAAACUCUAAUGUUUCUUAUUGUAACUUCUGAGUAAAACAAACAAAUAAAUCAAAACUUUCAACAACGGAUCUCUUGGUUCUGGCAUCGAUGAAGAACGCAGCAAAAUGCGAUAAGUAAUGUGAAUUGCAGAAUUCAGUGAAUCAUCGAAUCUUUGAACGCACAUUGCGCCCGCUGGUAUUCCGGCGGGCAUGCCUGUUCGAGCGUCAUUUCAACCCUCAAACCCCCGGGUUUGGUGUUGGGGAUCGGCUCUGCCUCACGGCGGUGCCGCCCCCGAAAUACAUUGGCGGUCUCGCUGCAGCCUCCAUUGCGUAGUAGCUAACACCUCGCAACUGGAACGCGGCGCGGCCAUGCCGUAAAACCCCAACUUCUGAAUGUUGACCUCGGAUCAGGUAGGAAUACCCGCUGAACUUAAGCAUAUCAAUAAGCGGAGG
Molecule: ribosomal RNA, 561 nt
Filed under: Fusarium oxysporum
Lineage: Eukaryota; Fungi; Ascomycota; Sordariomycetes; Hypocreales; Nectriaceae
Description: eukaryotic LSU rRNA
Rfam family: 5.8S ribosomal RNA (bases 183-336)
Source: RNAcentral